This 351-nucleotide ribosomal RNA is filed under the name uncultured bacterium. Its description in RNAcentral is "bacterial SSU rRNA". It matches the Rfam family "Bacterial small subunit ribosomal RNA", at positions 29 to 371 of the family's 1533-position model. The record is from RNAcentral.
AACGAACGCUGGCGGCGCGCCUAAUACAUGCAAGUCGAGCGAGAAGACGUAGCAAUACGUUUGUAAAGCGGCGAACGGGUGAGGAAUACAUGGGUAACCUACCCUCGAGUGGGGAAUAACUAGCCGAAAGGUUAGCUAAUACCGCGUACGCUCCUUGGACUUCGGUUCAGGGAGGAAAGCGAUACCGUGGGUAUCGCGCUCUUGGAUGGGCUCAUGUCCUAUCAGCUUGUUGGUGAGGUAACGGCUCACCAAGGCUUCGACGGGUAGCUGGUCUGAGAGGACGAUCAGCCACACUGGCACUGCGACACGGGCCAGACUCCUACGGGAGGCAGCAGUAAGGAAUAUGCGCAA